Molecule: ribosomal RNA, 196 nt
Filed under: uncultured bacterium
Lineage: Bacteria
Description: partial 16S ribosomal RNA
Rfam family: Bacterial small subunit ribosomal RNA
Source: RNAcentral
ACGCUCGACACCUAGGAGGCAGCAGUGGGGGAUAUUGCACAAUGGGGGAAACCCUGAUGCAGCAACGCCGCGUGAGGGAAGAAGGUUUUCGGAUUGUAAACCUCUGUUCUUAGUGACGAUAAUGACGGUAGCUAAGGAGAAAGCUCCGGCUAACUACGUGCUAGCAGCCGCGGUAAUCUGAGCGGGCUGGCAAGGC